Danio rerio (zebrafish) is the source of this 480-nucleotide non-coding RNA. The record is from RefSeq and is a predicted model, not a curated record. NCBI's taxonomy places the organism in Eukaryota, Metazoa, Chordata, Actinopteri, Cypriniformes, Danionidae.
CCCUCCUUCUUAAACCCACCCAAACUCCCCCCUCGAGUCUCCAAAAAUCACUGCACUUUCCAUUCGCCGUGGAGCUCCAGCAGAGGUGAAGUUCAGCUCUCCUCCUCCUCCUCCUCCUCCUUCAUCAUGUGCACGGAAUAACACGCAUCCAGGCCUCGUGUUUCAUUAGCAAACAUGCCGAGGAAGGAUUUGCUGGAUGUGAUUUCUAAAGAGGAUCUCCGUUUGGCCAUUUCACGUCCAGAUGAGCGGAGCAUUGGCCUGCAGGAAGAUGUGAAGGCAGCACUGCUCAUCAGGCUGAUGCAACAUGAGGUCUGCAGAAGAAUGGAAGAGAGAGGGGAAUCAUGGGAAGGAUUUCAGAGCGGUAAAAUAUGUAAUAUAUUGUACAUAAGUGAAAUAAAUAUGUGUUAUAUAUGUGUAAUAUUUACAGUAUGCAUGUAAUCAUGUCCAAAAAGUUUUAAUAAAAUUUCCUUUUGAUCCAGA